Molecule: long non-coding RNA, 2240 nt
Organism: Anser cygnoides (Swan goose)
Lineage: Eukaryota; Metazoa; Chordata; Aves; Anseriformes; Anatidae
Source: Ensembl
UUUUCUUUUGUGUUCACAGGAAUCCUGAGUGAACUGCAUAUGGACAGCUGGAGGAUGACGAAUCAACAGUUUGGAUUAAUAAUGCUAUGCUUUACCCUGACCUUGAUGCAAUUACAGGCCUUAAAGGAAACUUAGCUACUGUGGUUGUGCACGGAGCUGAGGUGUUUCACCGUGACAUCUAACCAUGCGUUGUCACAGUAUAGCGCAAUCACUGGAACAUCUCAAAACAAAAAGGACCUAAAUCUCUCUACUUUGGUUUUACAUGGGAGUAAAAUAUUUUCAAAAGAUGAAUGGAGUUGGAACGAUUCUCUAAGAAUGGCUGAACUUCAAGCCACGUCUUGCCAGACAAUACAAAUCAGUUGCCGAAUAACUAAUGGAUCUACUUACAAUAGGCCAACUGAAAUUAAGCACAAUUUUACUUUCACCAAACCUAUAAUUGUGUACUGUCUUUGGGGUUACGGAGGCACAGAAUUAAGAAGCCUCUGCCCCCGCAGAUAUUUGGAAAUGUACCAACUUGGCCUCCCAUUGGUCUAACUCCUUCCAUCUUCAACCCUGGUCCUUACAUAAUUAAAAAUGUGGGACAACAACAAGUUCUCUUUAACCCUAGCCGGUCUCUAAAAGGGUAGAUGCAACUGGGUUAUUGGGAACAGGAUUAGGUAUAUUAAAUAACUGCUACUAGAGAUGACCUAAGGAAAUUGGAACGACCAAUAAAAUCAUCCUUAUUGGCCUUAGGAGCAAGUCAAUGGCUUCUAUCAGACAUUUUCAUCAAUUAAUUGUAAAUGCCCUUGGAAAAACUCAGGGCAAUACCUCCCUAAGGUUAAUCGGCUACACCCCUUACCGCAAUACAAGGAAACUACAAUAAAAACUGUGGCAAUGCCAUGGUGAUUAACAAUAAUGAUACAAUUAACUCUUGCAGUAACUGCACAUUAUGCCCAACUGUGCAGGUACUCAAGUCCCUAGAUGUCCUAUUACCAAAUAAACAGUGUUCUUAUCAAUGGCAAGGACAACCAACAUUAUCAGCUUUAAGGAGCAGUUAAAAGCUUCAGCAAGAGAAGUGACUGAAGUGGGAUCUCUACUGGGAGGAGAGAGUUUCAGCACUGAAACAUUGCUCUGGAAAGGCCUGUCUUCCCAAACUGUAAGUGGGGAGAUAAGCACUGCAAUUGCUGUUUGUUCGCUCGGCGUACAGCAAGGGCUCAGAAACUGUCACAUUUCCAUGCGAAAGAUGGCUUGCGAAGUCUGAAGAUGAUGGCUAGAUUGUCAGAGAACUGGUACCAUCUGAUAUUUUUACUGAGAAGCUUAUGAAGGACGGGACACUCAAACAGAUAGAAGAGGCUGAAGACCCAUUAGAAGGCAAUACAAUGGGUAGGAGUAGGAAGGGACCUAUUUAUCUGAUUUUUGGGGGAAAAACUGUUUGGAUGUGUAGUUCAAGCAAACGUACUACUGGUUCUACCUGUCCAUAUUUCUUUCUCUUCCCAUUCUGUGGCCCGAAGCACUUUACACCUGAAGCACUUCUAUGCAAUAACACUGUUGUUUUCCUGUAGGGUAUUUACAAACCUACUGCAGCCACCCUUCCACACAGGCAUGGUUUGCACAUCUCUUUUGAUGCACAGCAAAUUCCCAACAUCUUGACCUUGUCUUCUAGGCUCUGCAAACAUCUUUGCAUGUUUGCCCAAAUUCACCUGUCCUGUGCACUCCAUCCCUUCUUAUCCUACCCUGUCAGUCUGAUUCAUUCUCCUAUUUCCUCCCAAAGCUAUUUUUACUGAUGCUCUCCAGGUACAUAUGGACACCCUCUAAAAAUUUGGCCCUAGGCAAGCACCCUCACCUCAUUCAAAUGCUCCUGGGGAGCAGAAUAAGUUAUUAUCCAUCUCUGUCUAUUAUUCCAUCUUAUAAAGUGUUCAGAUUCAGUGUUUGACCCUCAUUGUACAUCAAGCAACUGAAAUUGUUGUUUGUUUUUUUUUUCAUAGUUCCAAAAUCUUGUGCUGUUAUCUUUGCCGUAGUGGAGUAAGAGGCAGAAAAUGACUCUGACUAGCUUUUUGGAGGAGUCUCUUCUGUCACAUGGUCAUAAGUUUCCAACUUGGAGACAUUUUACCUUGUUCUCUGGGACAGGUCAUUAGCUGGAAAAAUUCAUAUAGUGCAUCAGCAGGGCAUUGAGAGUUCACCCAUAAAGAACUGGACCACACACUAUUAAAAGCACAGUCCUUGGUCUGGGGAGCAAAGCAGUACUUUGCAUGGCUCUAUCA